Molecule: long non-coding RNA, 4726 nt
Organism: Numida meleagris (helmeted guineafowl)
Lineage: Eukaryota; Metazoa; Chordata; Aves; Galliformes; Numididae
Exons: 5
Source: RefSeq, a predicted model, not a curated record
CUUAGUUUUCUGCCUUCACCCGAGUGACACAGGCACUGAGACAAAAAACCUUGAAGCGUUCAGCGGGCAGCAAGGAGCAGGCUGGGCUGGUGCAGGGGGAGCGAAAGGCCGCGGGCCUGCUGAGGUGGGGGAGCAGAGAUGGGCUGUGCCCAGCACGCUGCCAGCCACGCGCCUCUGGUGAGGAUGACGCCGUGCUACAUCGGUCAUGUCCCCGAAAUGAGUUUCUCUAAAAAUUCCAAAGCACUGGUGGAGGUGAAUGCCUGCCUUGAGAACCUUGUUUCUCAGCUUUGGGGUGCUGAGCAGCUCGUUAGUUACUGCGUGCUUGAAGGAGACUUGAACCAGUUCAAGCCUUAGAAACGGAUCUAGAGAUGAGUUAACCCUGCUCAAACUAUCUUCAGUUGUGCCUUCCAGUCUCCACUACUGCGUAUGGGACACGCACCUCCACGGAACCCUUCACAGCAGGUUGGGAAAUGUCACAGGACUCAGUCUGGAUUUGCUGACCGAGGGAAGGCGAACCUGCAGGGACUGAGCUCCAGGAGACCACGGCAGCUCCGGCACAGAGCCCGGUGUGACUGCUGGGAAGCAAGGUGCGACCUGGACAAGAAGCUGGUUUCUGCUGGAAAAAUACUGCUGAGCUCCUUGUGCUUGUGCCAGUGUUAUUUAAAGCAACCUUGCAACAAUGCAGCAGCAAAGGAAGAAAAUUCUUGUCCCCACUAAAUUCCAGAAAAAUUGUCAUUAUGUCUCCACUUCAUCUGUCUCACUUCUUCUGUGUAACAGAAGCAUCCUUAGGAUGUUGCUUUCCAUGCAAGCUGUGCCCCAGCAAUACAAGACAGUGGGUAGGUACUGAGGGAGGCAGAGUCUGCAGUUUCUGUGAGUCCAAUGUAACAGCAGAAGGCUGAUAAAACUCAACCAAAUUGUCUCAGGCAAAUAUCAAUUGAUUUUUUUUUAUUUGUCAGCUUCUGUUUCCCCCUCAAAUGACAUUUAUGUGCUCUCCUUGCUUAACUAGGAGGAUUUGAGACAGCAUUAAAGAUGAGGGGAAAAUUAUUCAAUAGAGAAUCAAACCUACUUCAAGCAUAUUUGCUGCAUCCUCUUCCUAACCUCAUCUGCAGCCCACUUCCACAUACAUACUGGUUUUUCUACCAUUUUUGCCCUGGCAUCCACAGAAAUAAUUUGCACCGCUCGAAUCCUGUAGUCCCUGUUUCCGUAUAGGGAGGGAGAUGCUGCUGGGUGGCAGCUCCCCACUCCCAGCAUGGUUAGCAGAAGGGUGCCUAAUUCCACCCUAUGGCACAGAAGUGGGGCCACACUGCACCUGCUGGCUUGUAAGGAACACAGGGCUGCCAGAGUGAGAACAGGAGAGACUUACUGCAACUGGCCUUCAGAACGACUUCAAGCAGCUAUUUGUGAAAUUGUGAAGAUCUUUGAGCACCUACUGUGAUAUUUAAGUAAACUGAGUUGGCUUUACGGAGGUUUUCUUUACUGUGUGAGUGAGGAAGCAUGGACGCAGGUACCCAGAGAGGUGCUGGGGUCUCCGUGGAGACCUCCAAACCCAGCAGGACACGGUGCCAGGCAGCAGCUCUGGUGGCCCUGCUGGAGCAGUGGGUGCCAGAGGGAUCCAGAGGUGCCCCCAGGCCCAGUUCUGUGGCUGCACGAUGCUGUUACACAGCCUUGCAGCUGUUCAGAAGGCAGAUUCCAGGCUGGUACCGAGGCUACGGACAAUAAAAAGCAGAAGCUGUAAGGUUUCAAAGUCCAUGGGAAUAAACAUACUACGUUUCUCAAGUCAGGCUAAUUCAAAGCAUUUUAAAAAGAGAACAUGGUGGAAAAGCGACAGUCCAGUAAAGCGCCGAGAUGGCUAACACUAGGUAAACCUCAAGAAUGCAGAAUUAUAUAUUUGAAAAGGAGAAGCCAGAGCAGCCUCCCAGAGCCCCAACCCACAGGCAGCGCAGUGCCAGGCAGCGUCCUGCUUCCCCGAGGACAAAGGCGGUGGCAGAGCAUGAGCAAAGCUGACUGCAAAGUGGGUCAGGCACGGAAUGAGAGCAGAGGCUCCUUCCCAGCAGCCCUCCUCCAGGGCCUCCCCAUUUCCCCAGGAGAACUCACGCUGACAGCUACGAUAAGGAAGGGUUUUGACAAAGUCGUGACAAUGAACCAGCAUGGUGGUGUUCUCAAACCGCCUGAGAUGUGCAGGCAGCAGGAAAACAGGCUAAAGCCUUUCCACCAAGCAUGAGAUUACUGGUUUAAGGAGUCCUAUUUGACAGUUCAGCACUUCCUAUUUAAAUGUAUCAUCCAAUUUCAGACAGUUUCUGUGGUUUUGUUUUGUUGGUUUUUUUUUAAGGGAACAGCUGCACUUAGGGGUGAUCCGAUGAGAAAUACGGAUCCAGAAGUCAGUGAGAGGACCAAGUAACAGACGUUUAGUUCAAUUUAUACCAUCUGCAUUUAUUUGCAGUAUUGCUGGUGCUCAUCAGCUGCACCCACCCCUAGGUUUUCACCAGAGAUGCUCACCUCAAGUUGCUCUCUUCCAUCACCUGCACAGUGCAGGCAUUGGAAAAUCAGCAGAAAUGAGCUGAUGGCGAUUGGAAACCACUGGACACUCCUUGGUUUGCUUCUAGUUGACAUCGCAAACCAAAACCAAAGCCCUGGCAUCUUCACAGCGGUUUGAUGAUGAGCUAACAGGCUGGCACGCAUCUCAGGCUGAAGCAGCACCAGCACCAAGAGCAGCUCAGCUCUUCCUACAGCAGGAACUCGUGGUGUUACCAGUGAGGAAAUGAAGGGGCAAGAACGGGAAGAACACAGGGAUGUAUUUAUUGAACUACGAUGAAGAUGCAAAAAAUAAACCGAGUACUUCCAUAUCUUAUUUUUGUAUUGUAUGUGAAAAAAUGUAGUCGGCCUUUAGGAUUCAGACUGAAUUUUCAAACUGCCAGAGGACAGACUUCGUCCCAGGCCCGUACCAUACAAUUACUUUAUCUACAUGACUUUCAGCAACUAUGAAAAAAAAUCCAGGCCAACCUUCGACACCAAGCAGACUGAAGAACAGUCAGACGAAACGCCAGAGCUUUCAGCACCAGUAUGUACUCAGCACCUCUUUUCAAGGCAGAAGUGUCAUCCAGACAAAGAACAACAAGUUAGCAAGUUCUGUCCAUCUUCACUUACCCAAGCAUCAAGAAACCUAACAGGGUAUUGUCAGAUCUACAACAGCAGAGCAGCGAUACUGAGCUUGUAUGCAGAUGUUAGCAGCUGGAAGCUAUCUGGCUUCAGCCUGAGCCUACAAGCACGAGCAUUGAUUUGCCUUGGAGAAAACAGGCACCUACACACAGCAGCCCUCAUCAGCCACAGCAGCUGUAGCAGCAGAGCUCUGCAGGACACACAGCUGGGCAGCUGAGCCCAGGGGGAGGCCAAGGGACAGGCAGCAAAGGCAAAAGAGAAUGAAGGAAAGAAAUCCUGCAAAUCUGUACGUUCCAAAUCCUUCCCUCUUCUCCUUCCAAAAAGGAAAUUACCAAAGGUUUUCCUGUGCAUGGUGUAUGUACUAAUACUUUGUUUGUUUCUGACUUAACGAUUCCUUACUUCAAAGAACAGACCUCUACCAAUGAGAGGUGUUCACUUCAGUCUGAUAUACAAAUUCAGGUAAAAUCAUCCCUCAGUGAUGAAAAUACAGGACUUUGAGGUACUGCUACAUCACCUUUCCAAGGAAUCUACCAGUGGCCGCAGUGCAGAAGGUCAAUACUGAUCUGUGAAACAAAGAGAAAUCCUAAUUAUGUGCAUACAGCCAUAAAGUGGAGGAAGCUUUGCUUAGGUGAACUUCUAGUCAGCCAGCUGCUGAAAACAUUGGUCAGUAAUUAUUUCUAUUUCAAGUUUUCUCUUCUCUUGAAUCCUGCUAACACACUUCUAGCUGACAAAUAGCAUUACUAAUCCCCAUCAGAAUUACAAUUUCUUGUUCAGAAUGGGAUAUUCUUAAAAAGAAGUCUACAAAUGGCCAGUCACAGCAUAACGAUGGAGAAAAGUGCAAGAAUUGGAGGGACUGUCAAGGUACUCCAUUUACUUUAGUAACAGCUGCUUGCAUGUGCAUACAGAAACAGAACAAACGAACGAACUGCCUCCCACUACAGCAGGGGAUGCAUCAUGCCAAAGGCAGUAGGGCAAAUCAUUCCUCUUGAUGGAAUGGUGUCAGUGAAGGUACAAAGUUCUAUCUGCAAAAGCACAAAGGCAGAGAAUGGCAAGCAAGAGGAAAGGGAACUUCAUGAACUACUCGCUAAAGCAAAGGAACUUUUUUUGAUAGUGAUCAAAGCAAGAGCUCCCAACAUACUAGAGAAAAACAACAACAAAAGCAACACCUCCACGUGAGCCUUAUUUUUAGAAUGCACUUCUUCCUGUAAGAGAUCAUGCUUCAGGACUGAGGUUUCCAGAAAUAGUUCAGAGCUCGACCUGAAGGUAGAAUUUUUGCUAACGAAAAGAAACAAGUAACCACCUAAGCCUUUCAGAAAAGGUGUGAAGUAAUGAACUGUGAAAGGAAGCGUCCUUCAAGUCUGAGAAUUAAGCAGCCCUUCAACAGAAAACCUCAGAAAAGCAAGGAAGUCCAAAAAAGAGCGUGUGAAAGAGAAUGCUGCAGAGCACCAAGAGGGAAAAGAAGAAAAAGAGAGCAACAUUUCAUCAAUAAGUGAGCUCUGUUCUCAGCUACGUGAGACCGCAGGACCAGACAUCUCCCUGGGAUAGAAUUCAGAAGGUCAGAGUUUGCCAG